RNAcentral lists this ribosomal RNA (253 nucleotides) under uncultured bacterium. Its description in RNAcentral is "partial 16S ribosomal RNA". It matches the Rfam family "Bacterial small subunit ribosomal RNA", at positions 524 to 776 of the family's 1533-position model. The record is from RNAcentral.
UACAGAGGGUGCAAGCGUUAAUCGGAAUUACUGGGCGUAAAGCGCGCGUAGGCGGCUUGACAAGUCGAGUGUGAAAUCCCCGGGCUUAACCUGGGACCUGCAUUCGAAACUGUCUUGCUAGAGUAUGGGAGAGGGAAGUGGAAUUUCAGGUGUAGCGGUGAAAUGCGUAGAUAUUCGCAAGAACACCAGUGGCGAAGGCGGCUCACUGGCCCGGUACUGACGCUGAGGUGCGAAAGCGUGGGGAGCAAACAGG